Long non-coding RNA from Oncorhynchus tshawytscha (Chinook salmon), 372 nucleotides. The record is from Ensembl. NCBI's taxonomy places the organism in Eukaryota, Metazoa, Chordata, Actinopteri, Salmoniformes, Salmonidae.
CCAAUGCUAGGUACGCGCUUUUAUUUAUUUUUGUUUUAACCUUUACCCUUAACUUAACCUUAACCCUAACCUUAACCCUUACCUUAACCACUCGGAAUUAAUGCCUGAAUUUAUGUUUUGGUUUCACUUUUGCAGCAGUUUGACCGACAGCUAAGGCCAACACUGUGACGUGAACCGAACUCUCGUUUUCAUAUGGACUAUUCCUGGAUGUGGUGGUGGAAGGUGGGACAAGUUGGAUGGAGAAAACGAGAGAGAGACACGGAGAGACGGCUGGAAUCAGGAAUAACGAUGAGAGAUGUGAAGACAUCAAAACUAUGUCCAUGUUGCAUCCCAGAUGGUACACUAUGCCCUACACAGUGUACUACGUUUUUG